Molecule: transfer RNA, 86 nt
Filed under: Acetomicrobium sp.
Lineage: Bacteria; Thermotogati; Synergistota; Synergistia; Synergistales; Acetomicrobiaceae
Also listed under: 3 other names
Description: tRNA-Leu
Rfam family: tRNA
About the family: Transfer RNA (tRNA) molecules are approximately 80 nucleotides in length.
Source: RNAcentral
GCCGAAGUGGCGGAAUGGCAGACGCGCUGCGUUCAGGGCGCAGUGGGCACAAGCCCGUGUGGGUUCAACUCCCACCUUCGGCACCA